RNAcentral lists this ribosomal RNA (491 nucleotides) under uncultured bacterium. Its description in RNAcentral is "partial 16S ribosomal RNA". It matches the Rfam family "Bacterial small subunit ribosomal RNA", at positions 29 to 507 of the family's 1533-position model. The record is from RNAcentral.
GUGCACGCUGGCGGUAGGCCUAACCCAUGCAAGUCGAACGGCAGCACAGUAAGAGCUUGCUCUUACGGGUGGCGAGUGGCAGACGGGUGAGGAAUACAUCGGAAUCUACUUUUUCGUGGGGGAUAACGUAGGGAAACUUACGCUAAUACCGCAUACGACCUACGGGUGAAAGCAGGGGAUCUUCGGACCUUGCGCGAUUGAAUGAGCCGAUGUCGGAUUAGCUAGUUGGCGGGGUAAAGGCCCACCAAGGCGACGAUCCGUAGCUGGUCUGAGAGGAUGAUCAGCCACACUGGAACUGAGACACGGUCCAGACUCCUACGGGAGGCAGCAGUGGGGAAUAUUGGACAAUGGGCGCAAGCCUGAUCCAGCCAUACCGCGUGGGUGAAGAAGGCCUUCGGGUUGUAAAGCCCUUUUGUUGGGAAAGAAAAGCAGCAGGUUAAUACCCCGCUGUUCUGACGGUACCCAAAGAAUAAGCACCGGCUAACUUCGUG